Long non-coding RNA from Prionailurus viverrinus (fishing cat), 167 nucleotides. RefSeq lists it as uncharacterized. The record is from RefSeq and is a predicted model, not a curated record. The transcript has 4 exons. NCBI's taxonomy places the organism in Eukaryota, Metazoa, Chordata, Mammalia, Carnivora, Felidae.
GCCCCAGAAAAAAAGGUCCCCUCACCCUGUUUCUUGCACAGUAAUAUGUGGCCGUGUCCUCAGUCUUCAGGUUGUUCAUCUGCAGAUACAGCGUGUUCUUGGCGUUGUCUCUGGAGAUGGUGAAUCGGCCCUUCAUGGAGUCUGCGUAAAACAUGACAGACUCUCUC